Ribosomal RNA from Bifidobacterium bifidum BGN4, 117 nucleotides. NCBI's taxonomy places the organism in Bacteria, Bacillati, Actinomycetota, Actinomycetes, Bifidobacteriales, Bifidobacteriaceae. The record is from Rfam.
UGCGGCGGCCAUGGCCCAGGAGAGACGCCCGGUCCCAUUCCGAACCCGGAAGCUAAGGCCUGGCACGGCGAUGGUACUGCACCCGACAGGGUGUGGGAGAGUAGCACGCCGCCGCAC